UGGGGAAUAUUGCGCAAUGGGGGCAACCCUGACGCAGCAACGCCGCGUGCGGGACGACGGCCUUCGGGUUGUAAACCGCUUUCAGCAGGGAAGAUAGUGACGGUACCUAACCAGAAAGCCACGGCUAACUACGUGCCAGCAGCCGCGGUAAUACGUAGGUGGCAAGCGUUGUCCGGAAUUAUUGGGCGUAAAGCGCGCGCAGGUGGUUUAGAAAGUCUGAUGUGAAAGCCCACGGCUCAACCGUGGAGGGUCAUUGGAAACUAAUAAACUUGAGUGCAGGAGAGAAAAGUGGAAUUCCUAGUGUAGCGGUGAAAUGCGUAGAGAUUAGGAGGAACACCGGUGGCGAAAGCGGCUUUUUGGCCUGCAACUGACACUGAGGCGCGAAAGCGUGGGGAGCAAACAGG
This 404-nucleotide ribosomal RNA is filed under the name Verrucomicrobiota bacterium. RNAcentral's name for it is "Verrucomicrobia bacterium partial 16S ribosomal RNA". It matches the Rfam family "Bacterial small subunit ribosomal RNA", at positions 355 to 776 of the family's 1533-position model. Lineage: Bacteria; Pseudomonadati; Verrucomicrobiota. The record is from RNAcentral.